This 253-nucleotide ribosomal RNA is filed under the name uncultured bacterium. RNAcentral's name for it is "partial 16S ribosomal RNA". It matches the Rfam family "Bacterial small subunit ribosomal RNA", at positions 524 to 776 of the family's 1533-position model. The record is from RNAcentral.
UACGAAGGGGGCGAGCGUUGUUCGGAAUUACUGGGCGUAAAGGGCGCGUAGGCGGCCCCUUUUGUCGCGUGUGAAAGCCCCGGGCUCAACCUGGGGACUGCAUUUGAUACUGGGUUGCUUGAAUUCGGGAGAGGAUAGCGGAAUUCCCAGUGUAGAGGUGAAAUUCGUAGAUAUUGGGAAGAACACCGGUGGCGAAGGCGGCUAUCUGGACCGACAUUGACGCUGAGGCGCGAAAGCGUGGGGAGCAAACAGG